UACGAAGGGGGCUAGCGUUGUUCGGAAUUACUGGGCGUAAAGCGUUCGCAGGCGGCUUCUCAAGUCAGGGGUGAAAGCCCAGAGCUCAACUCUGGAAUUGCCUUUGAGACUGAGUGGCUUGAGUACGAGAGAGGUGAGUGGAAUUCCCAGUGUAGAGGUGAAAUUCGUAGAUAUUGGGAAGAACACCGGUGGCGAAGGCGGCUCACUGGCUCGUAACUGACGCUCAUGCACGACAGCGUGGGGAUCAAACAGG
This 253-nucleotide ribosomal RNA is filed under the name uncultured bacterium. RNAcentral describes it as "partial 16S ribosomal RNA". It matches the Rfam family "Bacterial small subunit ribosomal RNA", at positions 524 to 776 of the family's 1533-position model. The record is from RNAcentral.